AGAGAGAGACAUGCGCGCAUAUCAAUAAGCGGAGGAAAAGAAACUAACUAGGAUUCCCUCAGUAACGGCGAGUGAAGCGGGAAGAGCUCAAAUUUGAAAUCUUCAAGGUUCUACCUUGACGAAUUGUAGUUUAAAGAAGUGUUUUCUGUUGGAGUUUUGGUAAAAGUUCUUUGGAAUAGGACAUCAUAGAGGGUGAGAAUCCCGUAUUUGACCAUUAUUUCCAGCUUUGUGAUACAGCUUUCAAAGAGUCGGAUUGUUUGGGAAUGCAGUCCAAAAUGGGUGGUAAAUUUCAUCUAAAGCUAAAUAUUGGCGAGAGACCGAUAGCGAACAAGUACCGUGAGGGAAAGAUGAAAAGAACUUUGAAAAGAGAGUUAAACAGUACGUGAAAUUGUCAAAAGGGAAGCGUUUGACACCAGUGUUGUUUUCUCGAAAAUCAAUUAAAAAAGGCAGGAUUUUGUGUUGUAUUGACUUUAUCAGCUUUCUGCACUCUUUUCUUGUCUUUUUUAAUGCACUUUUCGUUUAACAAGUCAACAUCAGUUUCUUUUGUUGUAAAAGGGUCAUUGGAAGGUGGCUUUCUUUUCGGAGAAAGUGUUUAUAGCCUUUGCCUCUGCAAUCGGAGAGAUUGAGGUCUGCAGCGUAGAUCCUUCGGGGUUAGAUACAUUUGUGCUAAGUUAUAGCCUUUUCAUAGACAACUUGUUGACUAUGAUCAGUCAUGUAGCUUACUCGCUUAUGCUAUUUUACCUACGCUUAGGAUGUUGAUGUGAUACUGCGAGCA
RNAcentral lists this ribosomal RNA (775 nucleotides) under uncultured Neocallimastigales. Its description in RNAcentral is "partial large subunit ribosomal RNA". It matches the Rfam family "Eukaryotic large subunit ribosomal RNA", at positions 23 to 640 of the family's 3401-position model. The record is from RNAcentral. Lineage: Eukaryota; Fungi; Neocallimastigomycota; Neocallimastigomycetes; Neocallimastigales.